RNAcentral lists this transfer RNA (74 nucleotides) under Bos taurus (domestic cattle). It matches the Rfam family "tRNA". From Rfam's summary of the family: Transfer RNA (tRNA) molecules are approximately 80 nucleotides in length. Their secondary structure includes four short double-helical elements and three loops (D, anti-codon, and T loops). Further hydrogen bonds mediate the characteristic L-shaped molecular structure. tRNAs have two regions of fundamental functional importance: the anti-codon, which is responsible for specific mRNA codon recognition, and the 3' end, to which the tRNAs corresponding amino acid is attached (by aminoacyl-tRNA synthetases). tRNAs cope with the degeneracy of the genetic code in two manners: having more than one tRNA (with a specific anti-codon) for a particular amino acid; and 'wobble' base-pairing, i.e. permitting non-standard base-pairing at the 3rd anti-codon position. Lineage: Eukaryota; Metazoa; Chordata; Mammalia; Artiodactyla; Bovidae. The record is from Rfam by way of RNAcentral. RNAcentral also lists the same sequence under 3 other names.
UCCCUGAUGAGCCAAUGGUUAAGACUCUUGAACUCCCAAUGCAGGAGGCCUGGGUUCAAUCCCUGGUUGGGGAA